Molecule: long non-coding RNA, 1147 nt
Organism: Vitis riparia (riverbank grape)
Lineage: Eukaryota; Viridiplantae; Streptophyta; Magnoliopsida; Vitales; Vitaceae
Exons: 6
Source: RefSeq, a predicted model, not a curated record
ACUGGAAUCCAUGGUCUCCCUGCCUCUCCCGGACCUCGUCUCCCUUAAACUUCUUUAUAUCUCGGAUUGUCCAAAGCUCCAGCAGUUUUUGCCGAAGGAAGGGCUACCAGCAACACUCGGACGGCUUCAGAUCCGGGUUUGUCCUAUCAUAGAAAAGAGGUGCUUAAAGGGCAGAGGAGAAGAUUGGCCCCACGUUGCCCACAUCCCCGCCAUUGAUAUAGGCGACAAUUGAGACCUUCACUCAAUUUUCUCUCUGCAAAACAAAUGAGAGCAGGCGUUAUUCAACCAGGUCUGUCCAAUUGAAUUUGGACUUCAUGUUGGAGACUCUAAGUUUGGAGUGAAUCUUGUGUGGGCACUUGCUAUUUCUCGGUUGUUUUUCUUCUUUACAAAGCAAUGUUUAUAGUGCGAUGAGUGAAUCAAGGGUAACCCAAUGAGAAUAAGGCUAUGGAUCAAGGACUCGCUAAAGUUUUUUAUUUGUUAUAAGAGAAGGAUGAAAAGGGGAAAAAUAGGAAGGUCGAAGAAGUUCAAAAUUUCCUAACCAUGGGCUCAAGAAGUUAUUCCAGGCCAUGACUGAAGUGAAGCCAUAUAUAUGGAGUAUGCCAUUGAGGAUGGAUGAGGGAUGGAAUACAAUCCAAUCAAAUCUUGCUGAUUUUACCAGAAGAGCAUAUGGAAUAGACUAUGUUGAGACAUUGUUAGUCCAGGUUGAUGCAAAUUGCCAGCUGAGAAGAAUUUAUUUCUCUGACCCCCUUUGCUCGGAAGAACUCCCACCAGAAUUCAAACUGUAUCUCCCAAUGCAGAAAGCAUGAUGGGGUUCGUGGCACAGUAAGCUAAGGGACUUGUGCUGCCCAUGUUUUCAGAACACAGUAUCUUCAAAAUUCGGAAUGUGUUUUUUCACCAAGGGAUGCCAUUUAAUCCUGCUGAGAUGAACACCAUCGUUUCUACUUGCUUGAUACUUGUUUAAAAUAUAUCUUAUUUCGUCAACCCCAUUUUGUGGGUGGAAUGGGGAUUUCAUAAUUUGAGUAUUUAUAUUUCAUACUGUAAUUUUUGUGGUCACAAUUCAAUGGAUGUGCUGUUGUAGUGGUGAAACUUCUUCAUAACACAAGGCUGUGUUUUGAGCAAGGAAUCAAAUGAUUAUUUUUAUGCAUGG